AGCCGUUCGUCGGUUUAAGUUUAGGUACGUACUAACGACCGGGCCGAGCUCACCGGAGUAAGUAACAGCUGGAUGAUAGACCCGGGGCUGAAGACUCUGCUUGACUGGCUGAGAGGAGGUGCAUGGCCGUCGUCAGUUCGUACUGUGAAGCAUCCUGUUAAGUCAGGCAACGAGCGAGACCCACGCCAACAGUUGCCAGCAUGUCCUCCGGGAUGAUGGGGACACUGUUGGGACCGCCUCUGCUAAAGAGGAGGAAGGAAUGGGCAACGGUAGGUCAGCAUGCCCCGAAUUAUCCGGGCUACACGCGGGCUACAAUGGUCAGGACAAUGGGUAUCGACACCGAGAGGUGGAGGCAAUCUCCUAAACCUGUCCUUAGUUCGGAUUGUGGGCUGCAACUCGCCCACAUGAAGCUGGAAUCCGUAGUAAUCGCGUUUCAAAAUAGCGCGGUGAAUAUGUCCCUGCUCCUU
RNAcentral lists this ribosomal RNA (467 nucleotides) under uncultured Methanolinea sp. RNAcentral's name for it is "bacterial SSU rRNA". It matches the Rfam family "Archaeal small subunit ribosomal RNA", at positions 892 to 1338 of the family's 1478-position model. The record is from RNAcentral. Lineage: Archaea; Methanobacteriati; Methanobacteriota; Methanomicrobia; Methanomicrobiales; Methanoregulaceae.